CCUACGGGGGGCAGCAGUGAGGAAUAUUGGUCAAUGGACGAGAGUCUGAACCAGCCAAGUAGCGUGAAGGAUGAAUGCCCUAUGGGUUGUAAACUUCUUUUAUAUGGGAAUAAAAUGGUCCACGUGUGGGAUUUUGUAUGUACCAUAUGAAAAAGGAUCGGCUAACCCCGUGCCAGCAGCCGCGGUAAUACGGAGGAUCCGAGCGUUAUCCGGAUUUAUUGGGUUUAAAGGGAGCGUAGGUGGAUUGUUAAGUCAGUUGGGAAAGUUUGCGGCUCAACCGUAAAAUUGCAGUUGAAACUGGCAGUCUUGAGUACAGUAGAGGUGGGCGGAAUUCGUGGUGUAGCGGUGAAAUGCUUAGAUAUCACGAAGAACUCCGAUUGCGAAGGCAGCUCACUGGUCUGCAACUGACACUGAGGCUCGAAAGUGUGGGUAUCAAACAGGAUUAGAUACCCCUGUAGUC
RNAcentral lists this ribosomal RNA (460 nucleotides) under uncultured bacterium. Its description in RNAcentral is "partial 16S ribosomal RNA". It matches the Rfam family "Bacterial small subunit ribosomal RNA", at positions 338 to 795 of the family's 1533-position model. The record is from RNAcentral.